Molecule: ribosomal RNA, 406 nt
Filed under: uncultured bacterium
Lineage: Bacteria
Description: partial 16S ribosomal RNA
Rfam family: Bacterial small subunit ribosomal RNA
Source: RNAcentral
AUUGAACGCUGGCGGCAGGCUAAACACAUGCAAGUCGAGCGAGCGGCGGACGGGUGAGUAAUGUCUGGGAAACUGCCUGAUGGAGGGGGAUGACUACUGGAAACGGUAGCUAAUACCGCAUACCAUCAGAUGUGCCCAGAUGGGAUUAGCUAGUAGGUGGGGUAAUGGCUCACCUAGGCGACGAUCCCUAGCUGGUCUGAGAGGCUGACCAGCCAGCCUGGACCGGAGACACGGGCCAUCCUCCUACGGGAGGCAGCCGUGAUGAAUAUUGCACAAUGGGCGCAAGCCUGAUGCAGCCAUGCCGCGUGUGUGAAGAAGGCCUUCGGGUUUUAAAGCACUUUCAGCGAGGAGGCGUUACUCGCAGAAGAAGCACCGGCUAACUCCGUGCCAGCAGCCGCGGUAAUAC